Molecule: ribosomal RNA, 683 nt
Filed under: Nocardia farcinica
Lineage: Bacteria; Bacillati; Actinomycetota; Actinomycetes; Mycobacteriales; Nocardiaceae
Description: bacterial SSU rRNA
Rfam family: Bacterial small subunit ribosomal RNA
Source: RNAcentral
AGGACGAACGCUGGCGGCGUGCUUAACACAUGCAAGUCGAGCGGUAAGGCCCUUCGGGGUACACGAGCGGCGAACGGGUGAGUAACACGUGGGUGAUCUGCCCUGUACUUCGGGAUAAGCCUGGGAAACUGGGUCUAAUACCGGAUAUGACCUUACAUCGCAUGGUGUUUGGUGGAAAGAUUUAUCGGUACAGGAUGGGCCCGCGGCCUAUCAGCUUGUUGGUGGGGUAAUGGCCUACCAAGGCGACGACGGGUAGCCGGCCUGAGAGGGCGACCGGCCACACUGGGACUGAGACACGGCCCAGACUCCUACGGGAGGCAGCAGUGGGGAAUAUUGCACAAUGGGCGAAAGCCUGAUGCAGCGACGCCGCGUGAGGGAUGACGGCCUUCGGGUUGUAAACCUCUUUCGACAGGGACGAAGCGCAAGUGACGGUACCUGUAGAAGAAGCACCGGCCAACUACGUGCCAGCAGCCGCGGUAAUACGUAGGGUGCGAGCGUUGUCCGGAAUUACUGGGCGUAAAGAGCUGGAAGGGAGGUUUGUCGCGUCGUCCGUGAAAACUUGGGGCUCAACCCCAAGCUUGCGGGCGAUACGGGCAGACUUGAGUUCUGCAGGGGAGACUGGAAUUCCUGGUGUAGCGGUGAAAUGCGCAGAUAUCAGGAGGAACACCGGUGGCGAAGGCGGG